CUAUUUUGGGGACCUUAGCUUCAUUUUCAGGGAAAGCAAUGAAUACCAAAGUUGAAUAUAUUUUUGUGGUACACAAUUUAGGCACCUGAUUUGAACUAUUUGGAGUUUGGAUGUGGGAGAUAUGACAUCAGGAAUGAAGGGCUAUGUAAAAGAAAAUUCUAGGCGAGUCAGAUUUUAUGGAAAUCAAGUUUGCUUAACCCCUAAGCAAGGAGCUCGUACAAGGGAAGGUGGAGUACACCCCAAGGCUUCCCAAGGAUAUAAAUAUGAACCCCUAGGCACCCUCAAUGAAGGAUCCAUCCACCAGAACUCGAUGAAACUAAGGGCACUCACCAGAGGGUGCUGAGAGCUAUUGCAAGUCUUCAAAGUUAUCUAGGAGAUGGCUUGGGCUCGACCCUAGCCACCAUGGCCUCCUUGCAUGGUUGUGCCAUGAUGGAUCUUAGGAGCAGGAGUAGAUCAUCGAUGGUAUGUACUCAAAGUUGAUGAUCUAAAUACAUCUAUUAUAUGAGCAAUGUUCUUCAUAUCAUUCAAUCUGUUAGCGACUCAAUAUCUCCUUUUAUGCUCUUCUAUCUACCAUGAAUAUGCUUAUUCCUUAGUCUAAUACAUGUUUAGACUACAUAGAAUGCUUUAUGUAGUCAUGGUGAUUAGAUCUAGCAUGUUGAUCUUUCUUGAUAGCUAGACAUGUUCACAUGUAUUCGUGCCUUGAAACUGCUUGUGCCGAUAGGGGGGAUCAUGACAGGGUCUGCUUUCGUGUAGGGGGAGUUUUUGGGAGGUUGACAAGAGGUAGUAGUUUAAAGAUUGCUUUGGAUGAGAUGCAUGUUGUGCUUGCUUAUUAGCUAGAACUACAACUAGAAGAUGAUAGGUUUUUGGUGCCCCUGGUGGUGUUAUCUUAUAUCUAUGGAUGCGAUCAACCUGUGUUCUCAUGAUUCAUCUUUACAUCAAGGUUACCCUUCAUAUGCAAUCUAUGUUUCAUGUUAGGAUUAGAUCCAAUGAGCUAGAUAGAAAACACUAGUUAGUUUGCUACCGAUCUACAGAUUAAUAAACCUUGAAUGGAAUAUUCUAAGGGAAAAGUUACGAUGAUCUGUGCGCUUGCAGUUCACAAAUUGGUAUGCUAAGUACUGUCAACAGCAUGCCUCGUAAACAUUUGGUAAGUGGUACUUCGGUCAAACAAUUUUGGAGACUUAUUUGCUCGGUCAUUUUUAUUCCUCUCUUUUCAUAAACCAAUAACUUGAGCCAUCACAAUUUUUAUUUGCUUCUUCUUGGAAAACUAGAGCCAAAACUCCAGAUCCUAUCAGAUUGAUCGACUCAUCCAUGAUGAUUAGCCUGACUUGUUUCUCUAAAUAAAAAUACACGUGAAGAGCCCACAUUCUUUUUAUGAUUAUAAAUUUUGAUGCAUGUUAGGAGUCAUGAUAAAUUUUUGUUUGCUUUCAUUUGAAAAUAGUCAUUUUCCUAGAAUUAGAAUUUUUCUGAGCCACCUUUAAUUUAUUUCAUUCAAAACUCAAGUCUCAGUUUUGGCGAAAAUUAGAACCUAAACC
RNAcentral lists this long non-coding RNA (1532 nucleotides) under Setaria viridis. Its description in RNAcentral is "long non-coding RNA (SVIR_LNC007039)". Lineage: Eukaryota; Viridiplantae; Streptophyta; Magnoliopsida; Poales; Poaceae. The record is from RNAcentral.